This 214-nucleotide unclassified non-coding RNA is filed under the name uncultured Russulaceae. RNAcentral's name for it is "sequence contains ITS1". The record is from RNAcentral. Lineage: Eukaryota; Fungi; Basidiomycota; Agaricomycetes; Russulales; Russulaceae.
UCGUACUACCGAGGCCCGAGGGCUGUCGCUGACGCGUUUCAAGCGUCGUGCACGCCCGAGCGCUCUCGCAUACAAAAUCCACCUCACCACUUGUGCAUCACCGCGUGGGGCCUCUCUCUUGGCUUGCUUCGAGAGAGGUUCACGUCCUUCACAUCACACAAAUGUCUUUUUAGUUUUUUGAAUGUCAUUCGUUUGCGACGACGCGCAAUCAAUA